AUACGUAGGGGGCAAGCGUUAUCCGGAUUUACUGGGUGUAAAGGGAGCGUAGACGGCACUGCAAGUCAGAUGUGAAAGGCUACGGCUUAACCGUAGUUAGCAUUUGAAACUAGAAGGCUUGAGUGCAGUAGAGGAGAGUGGAAUUCCUAGUGUAGCGGUGAAAUGCGUAGAUAUUAGGAGGAACACCAGUGGCGAAGGCGACUCUCUGGACUGCAACUGACGCUGAGGCACGAAAGCGUGGGUAGCGAACAGGAUUAGAUACCCUGGUAGUCCACGCCGUAAACGAUGAGUGCUAGGUGUUGGAGGAGACAUCCUUCAGUGCCGGAGCUAACGCAUUAAGCACUCCGCCUGGGGAGUACGUACGCAAGUAUGAA
This 374-nucleotide ribosomal RNA is filed under the name uncultured bacterium. RNAcentral describes it as "bacterial SSU rRNA". It matches the Rfam family "Bacterial small subunit ribosomal RNA", at positions 523 to 898 of the family's 1533-position model. The record is from RNAcentral.